GCAGGGUUGUCUGCAAAUGAAUAAGUUACAGUGUGAAUCUCUGUGGCUGAGCUUUAUUCUGCAUGUGGUAGUGCACACUAUCUGCAUACUGAAAGGCUAAAAACUUUGCUCCCUCCCCUCCAAAGUCUUGCAACUCGUUUGGCAAUAGGGGAGAAUAUUAAUGCAGUGCUCAACUGUCAGCUGGUAUUCCUGACACAUCUGCGGACUCAUACUGCAGUACAGACCUCUUCAGGGAGGAGAUGGAUGAAUGGGCAGAUAAAAACGAUCAGAAAGUGAAUCACUCUGAGAAAGCUGGAGAGAGGCCAGGGACAGGCCAGGGAGGGGAUGUGAAUGCUGUUUUCCCUGCUGUGGCAGAUCCCUUAGGCUGUGCUGCUGGCAGGUCCUCUGCUGCACCUUCUUUUCUUCUCUGCCCAAGGAGCAGCAGGGAAUCUCCCCAAGGAGCACAGCACACACAGGAUGGGAGCCUGGACCAGAGGGAGCUUGGGCCAGGGGGAGCCUCUGAGGAAACCAAGUUACGACUCUUUAGAAGCACUAAUGUAACCACAACGGGAGAAAACAACAACUGCUGCAGAAAGUGGUUGGGGUGGGGCAAGAGGGGACAGGAAUCAAAAUGUUUAAUUCCAGAAAUAUGGAUGGACGCCCUCUGUCCAGCACAGCUGGUCAUACUGCCAGUUGUUCUGUGUGCAGGUACUGGGGUUCAUCAGAGGAACAGGCAUUCAUUUCCCAUACACAAGCAUUAAGGCUACCUCUUUCUCCUCUGCUUUCUUUAAAAUGCAUUUCAUAUGAUAAACAGCCAAUCAAUACAGACAUGACUUUCUAUUUUUUUGCUCAAAACAUUGAUCAAUAGAUGUUGCAGCUGUCUGCUGUCAAAGAUUUGAUUCACCAUGAAUAUUACAAAAGCUGAAUCGUUCUGAAGGCAUUUCCAUUCUCCUAAAAUUGUGUUUGAAUUUGCCUUGAAACAGCUGCUCGAUGCUGCCCAGGGCUUGAACAUUUCUCACAAUCAGAGUUUUCUCCAAUAAGAAAGAAAAGCAUCUUAAAGCUCUGCACUCCUUCCUGUCCCCAAUUUCAGCUGUAUCCCUACGUGUGCAUAAUUCCACGUUUUUAGAGACUGGCUCCAGAAGAGCAGCCUGUUGUCAUGGAGAGCUGAGAGUGAGCAGAGAGUGAUCAUGGAGAGCAACACAUUAUCCUGGCUUUUGUUUUCAACACUGACUACAUGAAACAUUUUUGGCUGGCAUGAAAGAGCAUCACCAGCUCCUUACACACUUCAGUGCCUCUGGGACGUUGUCAGGAGAGAAAAUUCCCUGCUUACUGUCAAGCAAUUUGCUGCUUACACACUUACAGGAGCAGGAAUGUGUAGUUUUCCUUGAGGGUCUUGAAAAUAGGCAUCGCUGAGUACUUUGUAAAAAAAAUACAGCAUUAUUUUCUGGACAUGAUUGUUAGAGGGUGACUAAAACAAGCCUCACCUCUCCUCGAAGAGAGCUGUCCUGACACUUCGAAAAUGUGGUGAAAUAAAGGCAACAAAGUGGUGGAGGCAGCCAUUAACACAUCCCAUGUGAGCAACUCACAAAUCCUCCUGAUCCAUCCUUUUCACCUGUCUGUCGUAUUACUAUUAUAAGGCACCCGGUCAAUAAGACGUUUUGUGACACCGAGGACCUUUAAACCUUGUCUCAGGAAGAGGAGCAAAAACACCUGCAGGCUCACAGGAGUCCAUUGCAUCCCUUGCAGGGCUGUGGCCCCACACUUCUGUCCUCUCUUCCAGAAAGAAAGUGAGAUGCUGUGUUUGCAGCUGAGCAGCCCAGGAAACAGGGCUUUGUGGAUUUAGCAACUAAUAUCCCAUGGGAAAAGAGGAUCUGUUAUUUACACUAAAAAGCUUCCCACUAGACCCAAGUCCCUUUCUUCCCCACUCUCUCUGUGCAAUGCAGACAGGGAGGAAAUAAUUAUAGGAUUAGAUGGAGGGAGUGGCUGGGUAUAAAUGGACAAACAGCUGAGAGAAUGGGCCCAUGCGGUACCUUUUUCUAAUACACAGUGGUCCUGGACAUUGUUGAAACAAUGUGUUUUAGCAAUUUCCUUGUACAUCAUGAAGUUUUCAACAACUACAGUGAUGCUCUGAUGAUUUGUAGCAUUUUAUACCACUCAAGAGCAGGCUGAUCCCAGUCUGAAGAUGCACUUCCUGCCUCAGACCUGGGAGAGCAGGCUGAAAGCAUGAACAGACACAUAGUGUUGAACUCUGUACUGAUCCCUCUGGGUCCUUGUUCUUAUGAUCCACAGAUGGGCUGAUAGACAAUUUCAGGUUCAGUACUGAUCUCUGCAGACUUUCAUCACCUAGACAGACAGAUAAAUAAUUUCAGUUCCUCUGCUGAUCCCUCUGGGUAAACAUAUAUUUUCAGAUUCUGGCUCAGUCCCUCUAGCAGGUCAGCAGAUAAGCAAACAGAGGGUCAAGUCAGGUCCUGCUUCGAACUCUCAUGUCCUUCCAAAUUUGGAUUAGCAAGACGUUCCUCAUCUCUCUUCUUCACCCCUUCUUCCUGCCUCUUGCCUGGCUUCUGGUUUCCCAUGCAGCCUCAGAAAGGGUGCACUGCAGCUGAAAACAGUAGUGAAACCUCAGGACUAGACAGACGUACGUUCUCUGUGCUACCUGACUGUGACUCAGUGCGACAAACAUUUGGAAUUAAUUAGAAGAGAGACUAUGAGUGGGAAGACUAGACACAGAUGCAAGCACCCCUUCCCUUUCCUUUGGCACUGUGCAGACACUCCCUGGCUCUGCCUCUUACCCCAACCUGUCUCCACAGUCCCAGCUCACAUAAAUCUACCUCCUUGUCCUCGAGACCUUGGCUCAGGACUCCUGGUAUGGCAUGUGGUGCACACACUUCUCCAGGGACUUCAAUACUCUCUUUCAGAGCAGAGCCUGCAGAAUAGCAGUGCAGCCACAGGUUGGGACUGAUGAGUCCCAGCAGACUCAGGCUUUCAGGUGCCACACAGGCCAUCCUGUGCUGAGGAUCUGCGACUCAAAGUCACAUCCAUCUAAGAACCAUGUGGCCAUCUUAUGUGAUGAACAUCUCCCUCAGCCCUCUCUGUCUUUGCAUUCUGGAUUACAGGCUCCAGUGCUCACAGCGUAUUUCUUACAUGAUUAUUUUAGCAUCUUCUGCAAGUGGUUUGCAAGCAUGGACAUAUUUCCUGCUCACUUCACACUGCUUCCUUGCCAGGGCCUGGUGGAGAACUGAGGCACCCUGGCUCCCAGUCCUUCCCCUCUUUCGCUAUUAAGCCCCAGUGCCUGGAACUGAGGUCUCACGGUCUUCACAAGCCAACUUUUCCAUGAGAUGGGAGGUGAACCAAUGUACCCUGACUCCCAGGUCUUGCUGCCCAUGGUGGGCCCUGUUACUUUUGGUUUGCUGUUUAGCUGGAGAAAUGUUGUAAGGAGUGGAUUUAGGGAUGUUGGGAGAGAGGGUUAAUGCUACUCCUUUCUGUCAGCGAGGAAAUCUCAAAAGCCUAGGGUUUUUUUUUUUUACAUUCACAGAAUCACAGAAUAGUUGGAGUUGAAAGUGACCUCUGGAGAGUCCAACCCACCUGCUAAAGCAGGUUCACCCAGAGCAGGUUGCAGAGGCAGGUUUUGAAUAUCUCCAGAUAAAGAGAUUCCACAACCUCUCUGGACAACCUCUUACAGUGCUUUGUCACCCUUAAAUAAAUUUCUCCUCAUAUUCAAAUGAAAAUUCCCGUGUUUCAGUCUAUGCCUAUUGCCCUUUAUCCUUUCAUUGGGCACCACUGAAAAGAGUCUGGUCCCAUCUUCUUGACAACCACCUUUAAGAUGCUGAUAAGCACAAAUAAGAUCCACUCUCAAAUAAGAUCCAGGCUGAACAGACCCAGGUCUCUCAACCUUUCGUCAUAAGAAAGAUCCUUCAGACCCCUAAUCAUCUUUGUAUGCUCUCCAGUAAUUCCUUCUCCUUCUUAAACUGGGUAGCCCAGAACUGGAUACAGCCUCAUCAGGGCAGAGUAGAGGGAGAGGAAGUCACAGGGGCACCCCAAAAGUUUAUUUUAGGUGGUCAACAAGUUCCAAAACAGACUUGACUCUAGACAAAAAAGUGUAGCAAAUAAACCAUCUAGAAACAGGGUUAUACAAUUAUUUAGCACUCAGACAACAUAAAAUACACAUUCGAAUAUCAUUUGAGGAGAUUAUUUGGGUAUGACAACAUAAGAAUAAUGUGGAUCCACAAUGUGCACGCAUACACUCACAAGAAAAAAAAACAGAGGCCCCUCACUCCAGGGUACCCACAAGAAAAUAAUCACUCACCUAGGUUAGGGGAGGACUCAUUCAAGGGUGUAUGCAGUAAAUAACCACUCACUCAAACAAGUAGGUGAGGUGCUCUCAAUCCCAGGAAGUCUCCUUAGACUGUGUUCCAGUCCAAGGGGAGGGCUCCAGUUCACAGAUCUGCUCCAAGAAGACCACUCAAAGGGGGUCUUCAGCAGGGACUUCAUUUUAUAUCCUGGUCACAUCUGGCUGUGAGCAUUACAACGUAGUCCAGAAUCUUCUCAGCUACUCUGGGCACCUUCUUUGUCAAGGACCCUGUCAAUUGACUGAGAGUCCCACUCCUCCUGCCCCCUCAGCUGGGUGGAGGUGAAAUCUUCCUGCCCUGGAGUACGGGAGGAUUUGACUGUCAGCACCUUGGUACCACCCUAGGUGUGUAGUUGGGGACAGGCAUAGUGGGGCACAAAAGGUGCUGAAGAGCCAUCAACUACCUCGUUGAAGGCUCGGGAUCUCAGAGGGAUGUGCAACUGCCACAAAGGAUAACCUCCCUUGACCUUCUAGCCAUGCUCCUCCUAAUGCACCCCAGAAUACUGUUGGCUUUCUUGGGCAUUCCUUUAAGACUGGUUGCACAAUUCCUUUUCAAAAAGUUUUAUUGAGGUAGCACACAUCUUUUUUUUCUAAGGGGAUAAAUCUACAUGACAUUUUUUGCUAGGACCACUGACGAAUGCAGUGGCCCCCAGGAACUGUGAUUCACUUCUGCUGUCCCAUUCUUUUCUCUUGUAUAUUUUCAUAAAGAGUAUCUAUUCCCUUUUAAAAUAACUGUAAUGAAAAAAAAUGGUGAAAGAAAAUCAGGAUUAUUCUGGCCCAGGACUGUGGUAUAGUGACCAGUGGAAACUGUAAUUUGGCCUAAUGCUCCUUCCUUUUUUCCUCUUGGGGAAUUCCCUGCUAUGUCACAAAUCUACAUACAUAUAACAGCAUAUCCUUUAGGAUGGAGAAUAAUAAGCAACACAGAGGUGAAGUACUUAGCACUUUCUGGGUUAUUUCCAGAGAUCUUGACUGAGAAGGUCUGCAUUCAAGAGCCAUUGCGGCUUCUGGUUUUGGCCUGGUCCUUCAGGUUAUUUCAGAGCUUUGUACAGGUUUUAGUGUCAGCCUGUGUUCUGUUUAUGGCUUCAGUUUAUGGCUCCCUCCAAAUAAGCACAGAGCUCUCCUAAGCUUCCUGGAGUACUCGUAACCCAACAAUAAUACGUUAGACUCCUAACUAGUAUGAUUAACUUAGGCAGUUAUGAAUUGCAAAAUAAAUAUAUAGAAAAGCCGAGGUCUUUUAUGCAUUGUCUGGAUUUGUGACAUCCAAGGAACCUCCUUUUCAUGCCUGAUUGCCUAGCCAGAGGCUGGGAACACAUUAUUUGGUUAAAAAAAGUUGAAUUAGUUCUGUCACAUCUUGACUCUAAGGACUGGGUCCUUAUGAGAGAGACUAACAAUCAGAUGAGUUUAUUACAUGCCAGUGAUGCAGUGAAAUUCAAUUAAUUUGUUUGCUGUGCUUCCCAGAAUGAGAAAUAGACAUGCCAUAAAUGUGAACAAUGCCAUCAGUCUGGUUGUGUGUCAGUAAACAAAUGUAAUCCGAUGAUGUUUUGGAGUCUCACUGUCCUUCCUUACACACCCCUGGUUUCCCAGAGGCUCCAAGGAAAAUGGAAGGACAUGACACGAACACACUUUAUCUAGCACAGUGUUUCAGACCCCUGCUUUUGCAUUGUGACCACCUUUGACCCUACUGGGAACAAUGGGAUAGUAUGUAGGGAAGAAGUCCUUGUCUGGUCUGUUGCCUUCCCAAUUACUGCAUUUCCAUGAACACAGGAGCCAAAUGGGACAUCUGCAAGAAGUCAGACAAACCUCCCUAGGCAAAAAAUGUUCUCCAAAGUUGGUAAAAUAAUUAAUUCAAAGGACUAAGCUUGGAGGAACACUCAGCCUGAAUGACUUCAUCUCCUUCUCCCCUAAAGCAGCUUUUUGGGACUCAAGGCAUGGAUCAAAACACCUAUGGGUCCUCAAGAACUUUGUCCCUUGGCCUUGACCUAGGCUUUGGGUCUGCUCUUCUUGGAUGGAGAGGUGGUCCCCAUCCAUGUUGCCAGAUAAACUGCAGAAAUGAGUGAGGGAGCACAGACUGGACACUCAGAAAGUUGCCAUGUCCUUGGCUGAGGAUUUUGUUGGGCUCAGCUGGAACAGGCCCUGCCUGGUAAUGUAGGACUGGUGUCUUACUGAUAUGAGGAUGCAGACAGAUGGAAAGCUCAAAAGGAAAAUUCCUAGGAGGAAUCAUGAAAACAGGAAAUGUUUAUACUCCUUCUGCCAAACAAUCAUCAGGAAAAAAAUAUCUUUUUUUGCAGAGGAGUGGAAAGCUCUGUCCUCAUAUUCAUCCUAAAGGGCAUAACAGAGAAAUCCUUAAUAGCUUUGAGAAUUGGCAGGUCAUGACUUGAAGGUAAAAAUUGAAAAUAAAAAAUUGAAAUAAUACGUCCAUCUGCAGUCCAUGAAGUGCCACACAUCUGGAAGUCAGUCCAAGGUAAAUGUUCUCUUUCUUUUUUGUUUAAGUCUUUUUGAUAAAAGAGGCUUAGCUACAGGACCUAAAGUAGGAGAUGUGUAUCAAGUAGCUGAAGGACAAAAUUACAGGAGUGAGGAGACUUUAGCAGGCAUUCCCUUCCCUACAGUUCAUUGCAAGUGGGGACUUACAGUAUCCCAGGGCCAGUCAAACUCAUGCAAGGACUUCAGCACAGUCAGUUCAGUCCUGAGCACGGUGCUGGGUAGUAGCUUCAGACACAACCCAGAAAAGGUAUCCUCUCAGCCCAACAGCUUUGUGUGUACCAUUGAGGUUUAUCCUGAAUCAAAAUAUCCCAAAAAGAAAAAGCAGCACACCUGAUUCACCUGUGGAUAUAUGACCUAGGAACCAGUAGUGUUUCUUGUUAAAAAAGCAACAGGAAUAGUUGGCUAAACUUUUGUCCCUGACUGGGCAUGGUUAGGUUAUAUGAUAAGGAGUUUUGUGUCUUCACACACACAAGAAAGCACAGAGCAAUGACAGGAGGGGAAGCACAAGUAUUACCCCAUCCCAGCUCCCUUCAGCCCUAAUACAGGGGACAUCAGCCUAUCAAAAGCCUAUCAAAAGCCUAUCUGCACAAGCAUGCCAGAGCAGAGAGGCCCAAAAACAGGGGGAAGUCCAAAUUACAGACUCAGAGAAGGCAACACCGUGUCUGGUCUGCUCUCAGGACUGUCCUGGCAGACCUUCAGCCCCAUCCUGGGAAGUCCAUGGCAGAAGCUCUCUGAAGCAUCCUGUGGACUGAGUUGGGUUACAAGACACAUUAUGGCAUUAAAUUCUAUUUAUAGCUACUUUCAGUGAGGCGGGGGUGCUCCCUAUUCUGUGUACAUGUGUGUGUAUGGGAAUCUGAGUGCAGCAACAUCAGAGUUGGAGGAUCUGUGUGUCCACGGUGCAGCAACCAGAUCAAGUGUGGGUGUGCAGGUGAAUGAUCCCUAGUGAAGCUCAAGCUUCAAACUAGCCAGUGAGGUGGCCUGGGAGAAUAGCAUGGGUCUAUGUCACUGGGUGUGAGACUAUGGGAGGAGCUAGUCACAGGGAGACCAGAGGGUUCUGGCCAAGUGGUGGAGAGACUGUGGGGCCCAGGGGUUGAUUAGGAGACUUGUAUGUGUGUGCAUGCAUGUGAGGCAACAGGGCAGAAUGAGGAUCCAGACUGUGUGUCUAAGUCCAGCUACUAGGGGCUCCACAUACACAACUGUUUCUUUGUUUCUUUCUCUAUAUAUGUAUUUUCCACUAAGAGACCUCCAUCCUGAUGAGCUGGAGGGGGAUGAGUUCAGGCUGGUGGUGCUAUUUGUGUUUGCAUGGGUGCUAAGUAGCUCUGUCUGUGUGAUCAGCCAAGUUCAUAGUAUAUGUGUGCUGUACAUGUGUGUGUGCCUGCUGGAAAUAGCUGCUCAGCCUCACCAACAGCUGGACCUGGGGAUUCAGAGCUGCAGCAGCCUCGCCUCUAUCAGGCUGCCAGAUUAGGCAACUGCCCAGGUGAUAUACCAAGAAAUUAGGUUUCAAGCAUUCCUCUUGAAGGGGAUGGAAAGGCUUUGGAGUGUCAAUACCAUCCUCACACUACUGUCUCAUUCCUGGACAUCUGGGCUGCUAGAGAGAACAAGCCAGUUCACUGAAAGAGAAAAUAUGCUGUGGGAAUCCAGGCAGCAGGGAAGGCUGUUGCUUUAUAUUCAUUUGAAGAGUGAAUAAUUGCAGGGGUUUUCACACAAUUUCCAUAAUAUAAACUCUGUGUGAGGAGCUGUGUGCUUGCCAGGGUGCUCUGCGCAAGGAUGCUGUCUUAGUCCUAAAUCCAGGGCUCUGCAUGCAGUUCUCCCUCAUCCUGGGAAAAAUACAGAGUGAAGUUUUUGGAAGGAAUAAAGAAAUGUGUUCCAUUCAGGGGUGGAGUAUGAUGUGUGGGUAUAUUAAAGAAAAGUGAGAAGACCUGCUUUUGAUCUGUGCCAUGACUCAUGAGAAGCAACCUGGGGAAGGGGAUGCUUUGCAGCACUGUUAAUGCAGAGAUGCUGGGCGAUCUAUCACAAGCUUCUCAAAGAGCAUUUUUUUUAGUGCAGGCUGGUAACUACUUCAGUGUCUUAUAGCCAAUUCCUCUGAGAUUUCAGGUCAUUUGUCCCUGUGGAUUAGGCUGUACCCAUUGUCCUCUGUUCUCUCACAGAUACUGGCCUGGGAAUUUGCUCCAGUUCCCUAGCUUCCCAUCACAUUUGCUUUUUUGUCUGUUUUCCCUUCUCUUUCUCUAUCCCACACAUCACAGACCUUUGCUGAUCAGUGAUCCCUCAUCUUUGUCCCUUGUCCCUAGGUAAAACCCUUUAUCCACAAAAGCGGGCGUACUCACUGCAGUUUGUGACUGUCCUCACUUUUUGGACUGUCCACAACGCUCGGUAUCUCCCAUCUGCUUUCAGCAAGGCAUACACUACUGAUUUUCCACAUCCUCAUCUGCAAAAAGGAAGCUGGGGCCCUACCUCUGUACAUUAGGGACUUGCUGCUCCACGUUUUUUCUCCUGAAAUAACAAUAAGAUUACAGUAUCUGGAUGUCUUUGUUUUUGGAGCAGGCUGUGAGAUACGGUGGUUUGAGAAUAGGUGACAAGGAGCUAGGACCUCAGUGUUCUCUUUCUGCUAUUCCAUUUAUCACAGAGGAAAUGAAGCUGUGACUUAUAGCCCAAAACUGCCAUAAAUACUGUCUUACAGGGAAUCCAACAGGAUGGAGAAGUGGCCCAGCAGGAGCCUCACCAAGUUCAACAGAGGCAAAUGCAAAGUUCUGCACUCCUGGUGGAAUAACUGGCAGCAGGAUAGGCUGGAACUGACAGGUCAGAAAGCAGCUUUGCAGAAAAACCCCUGCAGGUUCUGUUGUAUAACAUGGUGAUCCUGCCACAGCUGUAUUCACUGGCAGCAAAGCAAGCCAACCACAUUCUGCACUGUAUUAGCAUGGGUGCAGCCAGCCCUUCAGCUUGGCACUGGUGAGACCACAUCUGGACAUUGUGUCUAGUUUGGGGUCCCCAUUACAAGACAGGCAUGAACGCACUGGAGCAAGUGGGGCAGAAGUGCCCAGAUGGUCAGGGGCUGGAGCACAGCAGCUGAGGGAAGUGAGCUUGUUCAGCCUGGAGAAGGGGAGGAAAAAGGGGGACUUCAUUGCUGUCUACCACUGCCUAAUGGGAGGUUACAGAUAGAAUGAAGCCAGGUUCUUCUUGGAGAUGCAAAGACACAAGCUGGAACAUGAGAAAAUACAAGGGGAAAUAUUUCACCACUGUGGGAGUGAAAUACUAGGGCAGGAGAGUAAAUGGAUGAGUAGGAUCCCCAUCCUUGAACAUAUUCAAAAGGCAUCUGACCAAAGCCUGGAACAACCUGCUCUGAACUGACUCUACUUUGAUCUGUGGUUAGGCUGGAGACUUCCAGAUUUCCCUUCUAAACUGAAUUAUUCUGUGUGUUUAUGGUUGUUUUUGAGACCCUGGGCAGAUUCCUUUCCUGAGUGUAUCCUCCUUGAGGAAUUCAACACAGAAUUACAGACUGAGAGAGCAGGAUCUGUUCUAAGGACCAACAGAAUUUCUAGUUUCUUUCUCUAACAUCCUGUGGAAUAGAGUUCACUGUUUACAACACAUGCCUUUGAAGUAACUGUGGUGUAACUGCAGAUCUUAAAGUGUAUGUCUUCUCUCCUGGACUCUGGAUAAGAAGUGAGGAGCCAUGAUCUCCAGCCCUUUCCUUCUUGUACCACUAUGCCAGCUCUGCACUGAAGCUUGUUACAGGUCUCAGAAGGUCUAAGCCCCAUUCUCAACUUUGCUUUAGGUACAUAUUUACCACUAUUUCCAGGUGAGAGUACUCUACCGAAGGACUGGAAGCUGAGAAAUGUUUCCCAAGGUGUUCUGUAGUACAUUUCUGCCCUGAUAGAUCACCAAAGGAUACCCAGUUGUGUGAACCACUGCUUGUAGGUGUGGACUGAUCAGAAGAUCUCUUCUGCACUCCAAUCUGGGACUGCACCUUCUUAUGGUCACUCAAAUAAACAAUCUUUCUCUGGACCUUCAUCCUUGUGCAGCACCAGGGAGAUCUGCUGGGCAUAACACCCCCUUUCUUGUCUAUUUCCUCCAGAUUAUCCUGUUUAGUGCUGGGUACAGGGAUCUCUUAAAAUAUUCCUAGACAUUUCAAAGUCAUAUAUCAGACCCCAAGCUUGUAGGAUUGGCCUAAAACAUACUAGUUUGUGGGGGAGAAUGGGGUGGGUGAGUUUUUUUGUUUCUUUUUCACAGGCAACCUGUGGAAUCUGUCUUCUUGUCUUGUAGGAUUUGAGCCUUCAGCAAUCCUGUUUUCAAACUUUCCUUUUCAAGGCACAGAAGGAUAGAAGUUUAUUUCUGAUUUAAGAAAGUUGAAAUGCCCUGUCAGUUCUUGAAAAAUGAUUGAUAACAAAGCAGCGUUGCUUUGAAAUUCAGAUAAUAUACCUGUUGAGUUUUCUAGAUUCAGCUAUGCACAGACCAUAGCACCUUAAAGCAUUUGAGAAUGUACAAAGAUGUCUCUGAGAUUUCUUUAUCUCCAAAAGGAUGCAAAGGGUGAGAGUUACAGAGCUGGGGACAGAGGAGGGCUUGAAGGUCCUGGAAUUUUGUACAUUGGGUAUAAAGUUAUUUCCAGAAUAAUUCUAAUCUCAAAACUGAAACUUGGAAAAAAAAAAAAAAAAAAAAAAAAGGUGGUGUUUGCUCCAAGAGAAACACUGAAAGAAAGACAAAUGGGUUAGAAAAUAUUUCAUCCAUAGUCACCUUUCACUUGGCCUCAAGCUCCCUGGAAGUGGGAGACAGCCCAUCCCAGCUUCUACCUCAGCAGUGUCACCUCAAUGUCUGAUCUCUUCUUCAGCCGGCACAGAGCCUUUAUUGCUAAAAUAUUUGCAUUCAUUAUCAGUAGGUAAUGGUGGCUUUUUCAGGCUGGAAGAAAUGUCAUAGGGAUGGGAGCAGAGAGCGACAGAGACCUGGCAGGUCAUGAAAGUGUGAGUAGGGAUUGCCUGAAUUUUCCUUCAUUUUCAAAUUGGAAAAGAAGCCACAAAUGAAGCUAAAAGGAGUUAGAUUCAAAAGCUAGCAGGACAUGAACCUCAUCCAACAUGCACCUGGUUGGUGAAGCUCGAGCUACAGGAUGUUGCAAAAGCCAUGUGCCUGCAUGGUUUCAGGGGGAGACUAAGCAAGUGGAUGGAAAAUAAAUAAUUUCAGGGUAAAUAAAUACGCCCAUAAAUAUGGGCCAGGAGCUCAUCUUAAGGGAGCCUGAGAUGGAGCCUCAGUAAAACUAUAACAGUUUGGAAUAUAACGGAAGGAAAUCUUUGGGUAUUGUCUACAGAUGUAGGGCUCACCUGUCAGAAGACGGGAAAAGUGGGCAGUAAAAUUUGUUGUUCCUGGAAGACUUGCCAACACUGAUUUCAGAGAGGCCUUUUGUGACUUUUAGACCACAGAAAAAAUUUAACAGUAAAAUGUACUGAGAAUGUAAUAGACUAGUGGGAGAGAGGACUGAACUGCUGUGAUUUAACCUAUCCAGGAACUUAACUUACUGUAGACACUACAGCUGACUGUUCCAGGAAAGCUGCCAGAAAGUAAUAAAAGCAAAUAGGGAUUUUGUAAAAAAAAAAAAAAAAAGUAAAUUCUCUGUUAUCUGAAAGAGGAAAUGCAAUCAGUUUAGAAAAGAAUGACAGAAAAUCUUUUUAUAUCUAACCUCUAAAAGCCCUGAAGUAUAUUAGCUGAGGAAGAUUUAAUUGUGUGCAAGCAGCACUGUUGGUGGAGAAUUAAGAACUUUCACCUGGAGUUAGGGAAACUUUUAUAACAGGUUAAAGAUAAAGGAUUUAGGAUAAUAAGAGAAAAAGUAAAAGAGAAAAAUAUUUAAAAGUACCUUUCUGACACUGUGUUUCUGGAAUGGAACACAAAGAACCACUAUGAAUCUCCUGUGCUUUAAUCAAAUUACAAUAAACAGUAUUAAUUUUGUAGAGUAAGUAGAUAAGAAUCGGGAUUGCCUAAAUUGCUGGAGUUAGAAGUUCAGGCUAUAUUUCGUGACUCACCAACCAAGAGUAAACUACCAGUAGUGACAAUCCAAAAAGCAGUACAGAUGAUUACAUUUGCUUUAAUUAGUUUCAAGGAAACUUGAUUAAAAUUAACUGAAGUGCUGUGAACUAGCUGUUGUGCUGUCUUGGAAAGCAGAAUGGUUUUCAUAGUGUUUUAAAACUGACAGGGCAGGGAGACCCUGCCAGCUGAGCCUGUUUGAUGGCUUCAUUCAAACCGAAGGCAGACUUUAUGCAAGCUGAAAUCCAAGCAGUGACUCUCAGACUGAACCUAGGGCAUUCCUUAAAGAGGGAAAACUGAUAUGAAUUUGUUGAUGUCAAGAUACAUCUUAAGGACUUUGUUUCACUAAACACAGCCAAAAACUGGCAUCAGUUCUACAGAAAAGCACAAGCACCAGCUUCCUGCCCAACAUUCUUGAUUUGGGCCAGAAAGUUGUACUUGAUUCAAAAGAAGCUGAACCUGCCCACAGUACACUCUGAUCUUUCUAUGUGAAAAAAAAAAAAAUAAUCUGAAAAUAAUCUGUUAUUGAUGAGGUGGAGAAAUGAUCUCUAUAUGGGGAGGAAACACUUGAACACGUGCUUGGGAAAUAAAAUGAACACAGAACAGCGCCCAGAAAGAUGCUGGACUUACUUGCAAAGCAAAUUAUAGAAUCAUGGAAUAGUUUGGCUUGGAAGGGACCUUCGAAGUUCAUCUAGUCCAACCCCCCUGCAAUGAGCAGGGACAUCUUCAACAGAUCAGGUUGCUCAGAGCCCUGUCCAGCCUGGCCUUGAAUGUCUCCAGGGGUGGGGCAUCUACCACCUCUCUGGGCAACCUGGGCCAGUGUUUCACCACCCUCAUUGUAAAAAAUACAAGAUCAUCCUUAAAAGAAAUCCAUUGAAGGAGAUAACAUGGGCAUCAAAAGGAAACCAGCACUGAUUCAAUCAGAGGUGCAAAAUCAUGACUUGGUGUGUUAAAAACACUGACCCCACAGGCAUUGAAAGCAGUGAUAAUGAUAUUAAGCAGAUCACAUUCAGCAACCACAGAGAGCAAAGUGUAACAUGUGAUGGUGGUAUCUGUGAAUAAGUUAUUGGAUGUGAGUGAUGUUAGAAGAUGGGAGCAACACUGCUGGUGAUAGUGUGCAAGGAAGAUUGCAGAAGAGAACAGGAGUCUCUCCAGCAUGGAGAAAGCAAAGGCAAAGCUGGGAGCACUGCAAAUGAUGAGCUGGUUUUUUGUCAUUUAAAUAGGAAAUUAGAGUAGGUAACUUACUUGGAAAAAGAAACUUAGCAUAGUGUUUUCUCAGUAAAACAAAAGCUUACGGCUUUCAUAAAGCAUUGUGACAAAGUAUUCGUGGUCUUGAAUCAUGAUAUUGAUCAGUCAACAGAAGCAGUUAUAGGAAAUAAAAGGUGUGCUUGAUCUUAAAGGUGGCACUGGAAUGCAAAUCUAUUGGCAAAGGAAUGAGGUAAGUCCAGUUUCAACUAAGUAAAAAUAGUGAUGUCUUGAAUGUUCCCCUAGCAAUCCAGCUACACAAAGAACUGGAUCAUUAGCUGUGGUAUUACUAAGGAGAGAUGAAAGCCACUGUAGCAUUCACUUAUCAGUACGGUGAUAUCUCAGUUCAUUUAAAAGCAGUAUUUGCACUUUCCAUUAUGCUGCCGAGGUAAAAGUGGAAGUGCUCAUUACCUUCCCUGGGAAUCAGAUGCUCCUUCUGGACAAAUAUGCUUGUCACGGCUUCACCAGAUCAUUAUAUUAUAAGGGUAUGAGCUAUCCUGGCAAAUUUGCAGCAGCUUAAAUUAGAAAUCACUGUGGAUAUUGAAGAUACUAAACUUUUACAAGUGAAAUCAUUGUGGAAAGCAAGGCACAAUUGUUGAAGGGUCAUGGGCUUAGCUGGCAGGCAGAAGGGUGAUCUGUGAGCAGAAGGGGUGAUCUGCUCCUCUUGGAGCCAUGAAUGACAAACUGAUCAUCAGACAAAAAAAGGAGGUAGCCUGGCAGGCACACAACAAGGCCCAGAGAUGAUGGAAAUGCAGUGCAGAUCUGCAGCUGGUUUUUAGCUAAACAGACAGCAGUCAAUCCAGACCAAAACACUGGCUUCUUGAUAUUCUAAACCUCAUGUACAGAGGGAGAAGUAUUUAUAAUGUGCAGAUGGUUUACAAAAUUAAGAUCUCCAAAUAGUGGGCUGUCUAAGAAGCAACAGUAAUCUGCAUCUAGACACAGCACUGGGAGAAAAUGGAGAAAAACUGCUGAGAGGCAGUCAUCCCUCAGUAAUACAGGUGGGAAUGGCUGAGGUUUCUACCCUUAGAGGAGAGGGAGAUGCUGCCAUAGUGGAGCCAUGGCUGAAAACGGUUGCAGUGCUCCUUCAAUAUGUCACAAAAAUGUUAUAGCUGGAUUACUUUAUCAGGUCUGGGAGGAUGCCAUGGAGAAACUUGGAGGUAGCUGAAGGCAGCUGGAGAUACCAGUAGUGGGAAAGUGGGAAAUGCAGCUGUGUGAAAGAACUAUUCUUCCUUUUGCAAAGAAACCAUCAAGCUCCAGCAGAUAGUUUAGCUUUCUCCUAGGAUCAUUCCCUGAGAGGAUGACUGUCAAAUGGGAAUGGGUAUAUUGGAUUUCAGAAAACACAAUCAAAAGGUGGGGUCAGGACUCUGGAGAAACUGCAUCUCAAGAGUUGGUUAUUUUUUUGCAAUGUUAUUAGAUAGCUUUUGGCAAGCUCAUGACCUCCAAGUAUAGUCACAAAUGAAAAUUAAUUGGUUUUUUCCUCCCCUUCCAUUUAUCAUGUAUGUAAAUCUUCUGCUAAAAGAUCAGACUUACUUCUGCACCAAGCAAAAAAUAUUAAAAUCAUAGUAACUGAUAACUGGUGAAGAAUCCAACCCCUGUAAGUAUUCUUGAUAUUGCUGAUAAAGCUGGAGUUUCCAGCUUUGAAUGGACAGAAUUACAUGAUUAAUUUUGUUUAGUGGAAUCCUUUGUGCUUUGUAGGUGUUCCAAUAUGUGAACUGGUUUCUUCAAGUUUGCAGAGGUAAUGUCACAGUGCACUGCAUUUAACUGAUGUUUUUAAAAGGUAAUUAUCAAGGAAAAUGGAAAUGGAGGUGGAAGAAAUGGGAGUGUGAGUUUCUUAGAAUACCUCUUAUCGUAAACCAGCAGAAUUAAUUGAUCUUGAUCGAGACUGCUUUAAAAUCACUGUAUAGUCCUUGUUUGCUUUUAAAAAAGGCAGCAAAGAAUUUGGCAGAGUAACUAUUGGCCUCAGUUCUUUGUACAUGUGGACAUUAAAUAUAAAGCUUGUUUCUUGACAAGGGCCAUCCAUAUAUGAAAAUAUCCUAUUAUUAAAUUGUUUUUAAAAAUUGUUCCACAAAGACUUAAAACAUUAUAGAUUUGUUUCAUGGUUAAGAUGCCUGCUCAAAUGCAGUUAUUAUAAUUCGAUAAAAAGAAAAAUCGAUGCAUUGUCUCAAACUACUGUGUCAGUUAAGAGCUAUAUGAAGAAAUGGGAGGUAAAAUCUUGCAAGUACUGCAACACGAGUCCCUGCGUGGAUUUGUAGGGAAGUGGGACUCUCUCAUCUCAAGCUCUGCUGGGUUUUUGCAGCACCGUGGGUUGCCCAAGCUGCCUCAAGGGCUGCUCUGGGGUCUGUGUUCAGCAGACAUGAGGCAGCCAUGGCUGCUUCGCACUGAUCUGUGCAUCCCAACACAGCAUUACUUGGGACAGAAGGGUGCAGGUUAGUAAGCGUGUAUACCCAUAUUAUCUAGUUUUACAAGAAAAAGGAAGCACCUCUUGAGCUGUGAAGCAAACUGUUUCCUUAAGAGGGCGGCAGCUUGUUUAUAUUUUUCUCAGGUGAAACACAUUGAUUUUGAUGAAGGUGGAUUUUUGUUUGGUUGGUUUUUUGCAACAAUGUAUCUAAGAAGAUAAUAUCUCCUGCUGUCUGAAUCCCACUCAGGGAUAUGGAGGAAACCAUCCUGCACAUCUUGUUUCUAUGGAAACUAAUGCAUUUUGCAUGGGGUGCGGCAAGGGAAGAACAGGGCAAAGGAAAAUAAAACUAGAACAAGUAGGUCUAUACCUUUUUUUGUCAUUUGUCUUUGAAGAUUUUAUCUCAUUGUGGUCUGUCUCACCCUUGACUGUAAGGCAGUCUCCCUAAAUCCUAAAGGAAAGAAGGCUUUAAUAUGAUGUUAGACUCAUGAGGUGCUUUGUAAAGACUGCUGAGUGAUAAUUGUCCUUGCUCCAGUGACUUCAAGAGCAUCAGAUUGGAGCCUAUAAUUCCUAACAUGCCCAUAACACUAAAUAUUGUUGAAAUUCUGGGACUGAGUCUGCUACGAAGUACAACAUCACUUAAUUUCCUUGAUUCCAUUGGGAACAUUUGUGAAUCUGAGCACUUUUUCUUCUAGGAAAGAAUGCUAGGACCUGGUACUGUAAAUACACAUUUUUGUAUCUCUUCAUUUUGUGUAGAAAUCCUGGUUUGCAGAGCAACUUUACCAUCAGGUCCAAAGAGUCUGAUUGGCCAAAAAUCUCUUUUCAGUAAUUAGAUAAGGUUCUAUACAGCUGAUUUUUGGAUCAUUGAGAAUGCUGUAAAAUGCAGGAAAACUUCUUGAGAUACCCAAAAGACACCCAUAGAUUAGACAGCAAUUGCUACAUCUGGUCCUUCUGGACACCCCAAAUGCCUAAGGGUGCAGCUCUAGCUGCACCUUUAGGCAUUUCAAAACCUUUCCAAGUUGUUUCAUAGAUCAGUUUUGAAAAUGGGACUUGGACAUCUAAUAUCCCAUUUCAAAAAAAUUGCAGUGUUUCCUAGAUAAACCAAGUAGCAGAAAAACAAACAAAAACACCCUCUGACAUUCUUCCCAUCUCCUACUUAAAUGCACACUGCAGCACAUCGUGCUUUGCCUACAGGUCUGUGUGAUGAAAUAAAGCAAUCAAAUGCAAUGUAUAAUAAUGAUAGCUGUUUCCAGAACUGUCAAGACUCUGCAGUGUCUGGGCCAAACACCCCCAAAAACCUUUAUUCAGCUAUUUUUCCUCCAUACACUGCACAGAUUUAUUACCUUUAUUGACAUUCCAAAUGUUUACACUUUGAACAUUCAUCUGUUAAAGCUGCUUGCUGCAUCUGUAAUCAAUCUCUGUGGUUUCAGUGUCAUGGACAGCAAUACAAAAGCCUUGUUUUAAAGAUCACCUAAACCUUGCGUUAGUCAUUGUUGCUACAUAAGUGAAGCUGGAAUAAUCUACCCAGACUGUGUGUUCAAAAUUGUGUCAGAGAACCUGAUUAGUGUGAGUUAAUGUCACAAAGGACAAAAGCAACUUUACUUUCCAUAGCACCUCCAACAAGGCUUGAAACACUUCAGAAUAGGGCAACUGAGGCUUAAAUUGCUGAAUACUCCCCCAGUUCAACUAACAAUCCUGUCAGCAGUUUAUCCUAUGGGAAAUCUUCCAGUGUCUUGGCAAAUUUCCUCCAGGCUUAGGAACAAAAAAGCAGAUAAUUGGCUUUUAGCUGAGAGAAGGCAAGCCACCUUCUCACUGUGAACACCUUUGGAAAUAAACCAGUGUGCAUUCAGCUAUAUUGUGAACUCUGACUGGGAUGUGAGGGCCACCAGUCACUGUCUUUCCAGAAUUCACAAGCUGUAUACCCAGCCAGAGAAAAAUAUGUUCUGGGUUCCUUGUGACAUGAUGCACUUGAGUGAAGGCUGCUUGUUUUAUAAAAACUCUGUGUUAUUUUUGGUUUUCAUUUCAGCCAACAGUUUCAUGCAUUUGUACAUCUCAUCCCCCAAGUGCCUGAGAAACUCACAACCUCCUAGGAAUCUCCUCUCAGACAUCCUUUCAAGGGGUGGCAGCCUGAACAACCUUUGACUUAUGGAUGGCCCAGAUUCAGGCCAUCAAAUUUCCAAGAGCCCAGUCCCAGGUAAAGAGAGGCACAGGGACUCGGGUGGAUUUCAGGUCAUGCAGUCUCUUCAGCCCUGAAUCAUGGCCUAGAUUUACCACAGUGUUUGCACCCUUCAAGUCCAGUUUCUGCAGGCAGACAGGUGGCCUUUCAUCAUGCUGGACUGUGCACAAGGGCUUUGUGGCAGAGCAAGAAGUUGAACUGAUAUCCAGUGAUGGAUGGAAGAUAGUUUUUCCAUUUCAACAGUAAGGCAUUGACAGACCGACCCUCUGCAACAUGAGCUUGGCAUCACCCUCCCUGCUAGCAUGGGGACUACUGGCCUCCUGCUCUGCCCAGCCAGAGGUGUAUCAUUCGCUGGUUUUGCUGCUCUUUAAGGCUGUAGAUUAAAGAUUCUUCUUGGGAACUAAGCCCACUCAAUUGUGAAUGAAAGAAUAUCUUCAGUUUGUCUGUGUCCUAUCUUAUGGUCCACGUCCAUCCGUUUUCCAUCAAUACUCCUACUUGCUGCUUUUGUGGCACACUGAUGAUAACAGCUCCCAUUGAUAAAGCACAGGCACUAACUUUGAGGUUAGCAUGUCUUUGCCCAUCAACCUGUUUAUACAUCUGCUCACUUUUUCCCCUAUGCUGUUGAUCAGGAUCUGUUAUAAAAUAUUGUCACAUAUACAAGGGUCCUCAACCACAGCCAUCCCACCAAAUGAAUGGAAAAUAGACAGCAUCAUUUAAAGCACAAUAACAUUACCAAGCGACAUUUCUCUUCCCAUUGCCUCAGGUGCCAAGGGAUUUGCCAGUCUGGCCCUUGUUCAGCUGGACUUUGCUUGGGUAUUUUUGGAGUGAGGUGCUGUUCCAAGCCCUUCGUGAAUAUCCUGCAUCUGGAUGCCCCUUUCUUCUCUAAAGAAGAUGAGCAGAGAACCACACUCACAGCAAUGGCAUUCCAAGAAAAGGUGGAUACCCAAGUGGUAAAAAUAGCUUUGGAAGAGCUCUCCUUGCCCACUCCACUUCACCCAAGCUCUAGUUCAUUUUUCGCCUUCAGCUUCACUGCCUUCUGUUCAUGGGCUAAGGAAAACAGAAGCCGAGCUUCUUUUGGAUAACAAAGUUCUUUCUUUUGGGAGAAGAAAGUUCUUUUUUUCAGAAGAAGAAAGUUCCUGCAUUGCCCAUGCAGCCAUGGAAAGAACUGACUUCUCCAACCAACUACCUAACCCAAAGCACCGUAGCAAGUAUUCAGAAUUGUCAGCUCGAGCCCCAGGCUGAGCCCCAUCUCUGAUGUCAUCGGACUUUGCAACAGUCUGACACCACUGCUGCUUUUCUCAAAGACAACUAUAGUCUGGAUUUCUUCUUCCCUUCACACUGACCCAAGUGCUUGCAUGCUGCAAGGGCAGAUUCACACUUAAGACUGGAAGCUGCUGAUGUUGGUGACACUUCCAGGAUCUUGUGAGUGACAUGUCCAGGAGGGAAGGCCAAGCUGUUGGCACUGAUGCUGGACCACUCUAUCAAGCAACAGAGAAACUGCUUUCCGAGCCCCACAGCUGUUUCUGGUGUUUGCCAUAGAGAUGCUUCUCCCGCCUAAAGGACUGGUGCUUGCUGCAGGUUAGAAGAGACCCUCAAGAUCAUUGAGUCCAACCAUUAACCUAACUCUGGCACUAAAUGACAUCCCUAAGAACCUCAUCUAUACAUCUUUUAAACAUCUCCAGGGAUGGUGGCUCAGCCACUUCCCUGGGCAGCCCGUUCCAAUACAUAAUCACCCUUUCUGUGAAGAAUUUUUCCUAAUAUUCAACCUAAACCUCCUACAGUGCAAGUUGAGGCCAUUUCUUCUUGUCCUAUCACUUGCUCCUUGGGAAAAGAGACCAACACCCUCCAUGCUACAACCUCCUUUCAGGUAGAUCUUGAAGGUCUGUUCCAACCAAAAUGAUUCUAUGAUUCUAUGCCAGCUCCUUGGUGUCAUGACAGUUCAGAGCUGGUUGUUUUCUGGAGCAUAAUGAGACCUUUUUAUAGAAGACCAAUCCAGACAUUCAGCUAUUUGGUUACUGGACAAUCAGAGCCAAAGCAGAACAGCCCCGAAUUUACAAAAAAUUGAAAUUUAAUUCUCUCCCCACUCCUCCCUUCAUCAAAAACCUGUGAAACCACCCAUCAGGAGAUAUUAUUAAUGCCAAGAAUGUAAUAGGAGACAAAGCCACAUUAGUUGCUUUUAUGGCUAGGGAGAGGGUGCUGAGUUGCAGCAGUGAAAAUUUAGUUAGCAGGUUUUUGCAAAGGUUAGAAAUACACAUCUCCCAGCCUUAGAGCAGCUGCUAGUUGGUGGAAGUUGGGGACCAAUUUUGUUUUGGACAGAUUUCUGUUUUCUAAGGGGUUUUCUGCCUUCCCAGUGGCAAAAGGUUAUGAGCAGUUAUUCAAUCCUGUCUAGAAAUUCUGUUUUUAUUGGCAUUACGUACUCUACACUGAUUUCCAACUGUAGUCACUGAAGUCCUGGGGACUCAUAUUGCUUAAUCACCUAGCAUUAUGCUAAAAUUCCUAUUUGGCCAAACAGGUACAUUAUGCAAAACCAAAGAUCAUUUAUGUUUCCAGUACUUUUCCUAAUACUCUCACUGGUACUAAACCUUUGAGCAGUUCCAGUCUCUCUGCCCCCCCUCGGCAGGUAACUGAGAGGAGUAAUGGCUCCUCAUGGCCACAAUAAAUACAUUUUUCUUUAGCUGUUAUUCACAGAAUAUUCUCUGUUCCAGGCAGUUUUGAGAAGUUAUUUUGCCUGAACAAAUGAAUCUUUGCUUUAGAUCCUGUGGGAUGUGUUUUCAUGAAUACUUUAUUUUGCAGUGUAAUUAAUGCUAUUAGUGUUAAUGAGAUUCAUAUCUUCAAAUCCCUGCACAUCCUGCUGCCAUUGUGCCCCUGUGUGCCUUACCUGGAAUAUGUAUACAAGUGAAGCAAGAAACAGAAAGAGAACAACCAAAGCCAGAAGCUGAGAAAUCAAAGGCUUUAAAUGAAGGAUACAGCUGCACAGGGAAACAUUCACUUAGAUGGGUGCCUUUCUUGGGGUAAUCUUGCUGGCAGCACCAAGGGUUUAUUCCCAAACGUGGUUGUGCCCAUCAGAGAAAGUAUUCUUCUGGAAGAAGUGAACAUGGAGACAAGGAGGUGGACAGCCAUUGACAGAGCUCUGUAUCUUGAAUCCUUCUCUAUAAUUUUCUCUGUGAAGCUUCCUCCACCUGAAUUCCCAUGCAAUAAGAUGGCUUUGGCACUAUGGCAUGAGCCUACCAUCUCAUGCUGGACUGGCCCUCAGCCAUGCAACCUGACAGUAACACAUCAUGACAGCAAGAUCGCUGCUAGCAGCUGGUGGCUGAUGCCUUUGCAUCUUUGCCUGUGCCGUAGUCCUGGAAAACAAAAUUGGCUGCCGUUCAUGCUGCAAGGUAGCUUGGGAAGAGAGGGCAUCUCCCAGUGGGAAGCAGAUGGGACUUGCAGGGCAGUGCUUACCAACAGUCACACCGCUGUAUCCUUAGCCUGUCUUCAGAAGAGCCCAAGAUUCCACUUCUUGCUGCCCAAAGGAAGAAGCCACGUGCUGCAGAUCUCAAAAAUGCAGUUUUCACAGGCCAGGAGAAUUCCAAGAUGCUGCUGCAGAUGAAGAAAUCCAUUAUUUAAAAUAGGCACAACCCACAUACAUUCCCAGCGAAGACACAGCCUAAGGCUGAAAGAAAUGUAACUCGAAAGUGCCCUAAACAGCAGAGCUGGAUGAAGUUGGCAUAUGGAUGAGGGAGGCUGGAUGACCUUCACUCCCUAAUGGAUUCACUCCUGAGCUAAAUACAUCGAAGGCUUUGGCUGUAUCUAUUCAUCAAACUAAUGGUGUGAUGGUAGAUGCACUUAUUGGAUUAAAUCAACACUAAGGCAUAGGUUUAAGUUAACAAACAGUGAGUUCCCCAAAGUCCCUGAAGUAUGUGAUGUCUGCUGGCUGAUCCUCCAAAACCAACGGGCAUUGUGUCAGAAGAUGUAUCAUAAAAUGUCAUAAAGACUUUUUAAUGUAUUAUAAAAAAAUUAGAUAAAAGGCUUACUCAAUGAUGACCUUCACCUAAAUAAAUGCAUACCAGAGUCUCAGACACAGAAUCAUAGAGUU
Long non-coding RNA from Columba livia (rock pigeon), 22699 nucleotides. RefSeq lists it as uncharacterized. NCBI's taxonomy places the organism in Eukaryota, Metazoa, Chordata, Aves, Columbiformes, Columbidae. The record is from RefSeq and is a predicted model, not a curated record. The transcript is spliced from 5 exons.